GACGAACGCUGGCGGCGUGCUUAACACAUGCAAGUCGAACGGAAAGGCCCUGCUUUUGUGGGGUGCUCGAGUGGCGAACGGGUGAGUAACACGUGAGUAACCUGCCCUUGACUUUGGGAUAACUUCAGGAAACUGGGGCUAAUACCGGAUAGGAGCUCCUGCUGCAUGGUGGGGGUUGGAAAGUUUCGGCGGUUGGGGAUGGACUCGCGGCUUAUCAGCUUGUUGGUGGGGUAGUGGCUUACCAAGGCUUUGACGGGUAGCCGGCCUGAGAGGGUGACCGGCCACAUUGGGACUGAGGUACGGCCCAGACUCCUACGGGAGGCAGCAGUGGGGAAUAUUGCAUAAUGGGCGGAAGCCUGAUGCAGCAACGCCGCGUGCGGGAUGACGGCCUUCGGGUUGUAAACCGCUUUCGCCUGUGACGAAGCGUGAGUGACGGUAAUGGGUAAAGAAGCACCGGCUAACUACGUG
This 468-nucleotide ribosomal RNA is filed under the name uncultured bacterium. RNAcentral's name for it is "partial 16S ribosomal RNA". It matches the Rfam family "Bacterial small subunit ribosomal RNA", at positions 28 to 507 of the family's 1533-position model. The record is from RNAcentral.